Molecule: transfer RNA, 126 nt
Filed under: Streptomyces sp. SID3212
Lineage: Bacteria; Bacillati; Actinomycetota; Actinomycetes; Kitasatosporales; Streptomycetaceae
Description: tRNA-OTHER
Source: RNAcentral
GCGGUAGUUGGCGCGGAGAGACGGCCUCCGAUGCAGUUCAGGGCGCUGCUGAGGCUGAAGGCGUAGCGGUCUUGAAACCGUCGUGGCAGCGAUGUCACGGUGGGUUCAAAUCCCACACCCACCGCA